CCUACGGGAGGCUGCAGUGGGGAAUAUUGGGCAAUGGAGGAAACUCUGACCCAGCAACGCCGCGUGAAUGAUGAAGGUCUUCGGAUUGUAAACUGCUUUUAGUUGGGAAUAAAAGGGGGCUCGUGAGCCCCGUAUUGUAUGUACCAUCAGAAAAAGGACCGGCUAAUUCCGUGCCAGCAGCCGCGGUAAUACGGAAGGUCCGGGCGUUAUCCGGAUUUAUUGGGUUUAAAGGGAGCGUAGGCCGGCUUUUAAGUCAGCUGUGAAAGUCCGCGGCUCAACCGUGGAAUUGCAGUUGAAACUGGAGGCCUUGAGUGCACACAGGGAGGCCGGAAUUCAUGGUGUAGCGGUGAAAUGCUUAGAUAUCAUGAAGAACUCCGAUCGCGAAGGCAAGUGUCCGGGGUGCAACUGACGCUGAGGCUCGAAAGUGCGGGUAUCAAACAGGAUUAGAUACCCGGGUAGUC
Molecule: ribosomal RNA, 461 nt
Filed under: uncultured bacterium
Lineage: Bacteria
Description: partial 16S ribosomal RNA
Rfam family: Bacterial small subunit ribosomal RNA
Source: RNAcentral